UGUAGAUAGGUGAUAGAUAUGGGGAUAUGAAGGGUUCAUUGUAGAUAGGUGAUAGAUAUGGGGGUAUGAAGGGUUAGUUGUAGAUAGGUGAUAGAUAUGGGGGUAUGAAGGGUUCAUUGUAGAUAGGUGAUAGAUAUGGUGGUAUGAAGGGUUAGUUGUAGAUAGGUGAUAGAUAUGGGGGUAUGAAGGGUUCAUUGUAGAUAGGUGAUAGAUAUGGGGGUAUGAAGGGUUAGUUGUAGAUAGGUGAUAGAUAUGGGGGUAUGAAGGGUUCAUUGUAGAUAGGUGAUAGAUAUGGUGGUAUGAAGGGUUCAUUGUAGAUAGGUGAUAGAUAUGGUGGUAUGAAGGGUUCAUUGUAGAUAGGUGAUAGAUAUGGUGGUAUGAAGGGUUCAUUGUAGAUAGGUGAUAGAUAUGGUGGUAUGAAGGGUUCAUUGUAGAUAGGUGAUAGAUAUGGUGGUAUGAAGGGUUCAUUGUAGAUAGGUGAUAGAUAUGGUGGUAUGAAGGGUUCAUUGUAGAUAGGUGAUAGAUAUGGUGGUAUGAAGGGUUCAUUGUAGAUAGGUGAUAGAUAUGGUGGUAUGAAGGGUUCAUUGUAGAUAGGUGAUAGAUAUGGUGGUAUGAAG
This is a long non-coding RNA of Oncorhynchus keta (chum salmon), 617 nucleotides long. RefSeq lists it as uncharacterized. The transcript is spliced from 3 exons. The record is from RefSeq and is a predicted model, not a curated record. Lineage: Eukaryota; Metazoa; Chordata; Actinopteri; Salmoniformes; Salmonidae.